Molecule: ribosomal RNA, 746 nt
Filed under: Salmonella enterica
Lineage: Bacteria; Pseudomonadati; Pseudomonadota; Gammaproteobacteria; Enterobacterales; Enterobacteriaceae
Description: partial 23S ribosomal RNA
Rfam family: Bacterial large subunit ribosomal RNA
Source: RNAcentral
GGGUUGUGAGGUUAAGCGACUAAGCGUACACGGUGGAUGCCCUGGCAGUCAGAGGCGAUGAAGGGCGUGCUAAUCUGCGAUAAGCGCCGGUAAGGUGAUAUGAACCGUUAUAACCGGCGAUACCCGAAUGGGGAAACCCAGUGUGAUUCGUCACACUAUCAUUAACUGAAUCCAUAGGUUAAUGAGGCGAACCGGGGGAACUGAAACAUCUAAGUACCCCGAGGAAAAGAAAUCAACCGAGAUUCCCCCAGUAGCGGCGAGCGAACGGGGAGGAGCCCAGAGCCUGAAUCAGCAUGUGUGUUAGUGGAAGCGUCUGGAAAGGCGCGCGAUACAGGGUGACAGCCCCGUACACAAAAGCGCAUGUGCUGUGAGCUCGAUGAGUAGGGCGGGACACGUGGUAUCCUGUCUGAAUAUGGGGGGACCAUCCUCCAAGGCUAAAUACUCCUGACUGACCGAUAGUGAACCAGUACCGUGAGGGAAAGGCGAAAAGAACCCCGGCGAGGGGAGUGAAAAAGAACCUGAAACCGUGUACGUACAAGCAGUGGGAGCCCCACCACCAAAGCAUUCUCUGGUGUUGAAGGCCCUGCAAAGCAGCAUCGCGGUGGCGGAGCGUCGUUUGCGACGCCCAACACACAAAACAAGCGGUGAGUGCUUUGGGGUGGGGUGACUGCGUACCUUUUGUAUAAUGGGUCAGCGACUUAUAUUCUGUAGCAAGGUUAACCGUAUAGGGGAGCCGCAGGGAAACC